AUGUUGUAGGUGUGCGCAGAUCCAACCGCACUCAGAUUGAAUCCAAUGGCGAUAUUCCUGAGGCGAUCUUGCGACCGGUAGCACCUUUCUGAAGGAAUCUAUUUCGAUCGGUUGGCAGUUUGAAAAAAUUCUUUGUUGAAGAUAGAUCGUUAUUUACAAAUCGAACGAGACAGGAAUCGAAAAAAAUAACAAGAUGUUCAAGAACCAUUUGGAAAUGAUUGGGCGGAACGAAACCCCCAGCAAAAAAGCGAAAUUCUGGCAAUCGUACGUCAGGUCCUUAAAAGGAUCAGAUGACAUUCGUGCUCAUGACUCGCCUAAAAUCCGAUCAUGGAGACCGUGGAGCGCUUAUGUAGACACCCCACCAAAUUUCAGAAGCAUCUUCGCUAAUCCAGAAACUCCAGCAGAAAGGAUUACAUCUCAUGGUUAUCGUUAUCUUCCAGUGCAUAGAGAAACUUACGGGUACUCCCCCAGACCCAUCUACGACCAUCACUACAGCCGAACAAUUCCAUUAGCAAAUUAUGACGUAGAAAGGGCAUGGAAUGAACACCUGAAGCGUAUGUCAGAAAUCGAACGCAGAUAUCCUUCACGCUAUGGACUAUACCUGAAGGAUUGGCCAAAUGCGGUGGUUCCUCAAGAAUAUGAACCUGAAGAUAAGCCUUUAUUCGCUGAAUCAGCACGGGCAAGCAGUGUUCCACCAAUUCGACCAUUUAGCCGUGCCAGGAGCUCUUCGCCUUUUCUCGAUCGAUUACGAGCCAGUUCAGUAGAACCCGGAUUGGAUUCACACUUUAGUAAGUCUGAUUCUGAUACACCAUUAGCUCCAAGACGCUUACGCGCUAGCUCACUGGAUCGCGUCGGUUCAUUGGAGCUGGAUCUGCUUUUUAGCAAAUAUGACAGGUUAUUAGACUAUCGUUCCCAUUCCCCCACUCCAGUGAAACCUGGCCGUUGGGCACCUCGUGAACCCGAAGUAGCAUACGACAGUGAUGGACUACCAAUCUACCAUGGUGCCUUUAGAAGGAAUAACUUUGAUAGUCUACUCAAUCCAAGCCCACGAUUGCCGAUUACAGCAAUCACCCGUGAUCCAUGGUGGUGGGAUAUUGAAGAUUUGAGGCCCUACCGGUUGUACCCAUAUCGUGCCUUACCACCUUAUUUGAGGGACUCAUACUUGUCACCAGUCAAGAGGACCUACUUGUGGGAUAAACAUCCAAUCAGGCCAUUCGAUGAAGAAGAAAUCUAACCAAACCUUGAAAGCGAAUAUCGAGCUUGUAUGCAAAAGGAAGACGCACUCACUUAUUUACUAAACUAACCCAUUUUCUUUUCAGUGCUCACGCCUUCUAGGCCAUUUGAUGAUUAAAUAAAUAUGCAAAUCAAGGUACGCAUUCUCAUAAAGAUGAGACAAACGAA
This is an RNA transcript of Hermetia illucens (black soldier fly), 1401 nucleotides long. RefSeq lists it as uncharacterized. The transcript is spliced from 9 exons. The record is from RefSeq and is a predicted model, not a curated record. Lineage: Eukaryota; Metazoa; Arthropoda; Insecta; Diptera; Stratiomyidae.